GGGGCAUUAGCUCAGUUGGUAGAGCGCUUCAAUGGCAUUGAAGAGGUCAUCGGUUCGACUCCGUUAUGCUCCA
This 73-nucleotide transfer RNA is filed under the name Roseibacillus sp. TMED18. RNAcentral describes it as "tRNA-Ala". It matches the Rfam family "tRNA". Rfam says of the family: Transfer RNA (tRNA) molecules are approximately 80 nucleotides in length. RNAcentral also lists the same sequence under 4 other names. The record is from RNAcentral. Lineage: Bacteria; Pseudomonadati; Verrucomicrobiota; Verrucomicrobiia; Verrucomicrobiales; Verrucomicrobiaceae.